This 695-nucleotide ribosomal RNA is filed under the name uncultured Lachnospiraceae bacterium. RNAcentral's name for it is "bacterial SSU rRNA". It matches the Rfam family "Bacterial small subunit ribosomal RNA", at positions 66 to 776 of the family's 1533-position model. The record is from RNAcentral. Lineage: Bacteria; Bacillati; Bacillota; Clostridia; Lachnospirales; Lachnospiraceae.
AUUGAAACUUCGGUCGAUUUAAUUUAAUUCUAGUGGCGGACGGGUGAGUAACGCGUGGGUAACCUGCCUUAUACAGGGGGAUAACAGUCAGAAAUGGCUGCUAAUACCGCAUAAGCGCACAGAGCUGCAUGGCUCAGUGUGAAAAACUCCGGUGGUAUAAGAUGGACCCGCGUUGGAUUAGCUUGUUGGUGGGGUAACGGCCCACCAAGGCGACGAUCCAUAGCCGGCCUGAGAGGGUGAACGGCCACAUUGGGACUGAGACACGGCCCAGACUCCUACGGGAGGCAGCAGUGGGGAAUAUUGCACAAUGGGGGAAACCCUGAUGCAGCGACGCCGCGUGAAGGAAGAAGUAUCUCGGUAUGUAAACUUCUAUCAGCAGGGAAGAUAGUGACGGUACCUGACUAAGAAGCCCCGGCUAACUACGUGCCAGCAGCCGCGGUAAUACGUAGGGGGCAAGCGUUAUCCGGAUUUACUGGGUGUAAAGGGAGCGUAGACGGUGUGGCAAGUCUGAUGUGAAAGGCAUGGGCUCAACCUGUGGACUGCAUUGGAAACUGUCAUACUUGAGUGCCGGAGGGGUAAGCGGAAUUCCUAGUGUAGCGGUGAAAUGCGUAGAUAUUAGGAGGAACACCAGUGGCGAAGGCGGCUUACUGGACGGUAACUGACGUUGAGGCUCGAAAGCGUGGGGAGCAAACAGG